This is an RNA transcript of Prunus persica (peach), 2437 nucleotides long. It is a transcript of the gene named serine/threonine-protein phosphatase BSL1, with no coding region annotated. The record is from RefSeq and is a predicted model, not a curated record. The transcript has 18 exons. Lineage: Eukaryota; Viridiplantae; Streptophyta; Magnoliopsida; Rosales; Rosaceae.
AUGGGGCACAAAACCGGAAAUCCAAGCAAGCUUGGCGAAAUUCCACUGCAUUCAAAAUUGUUAUUCCUGCUUAAUGUCUAGGGUGGCAUAGGUCCUGCUGGGCAUUCUACAGACGAUCUCUAUGUGCUUGAUUUAACCAACGAUAAGUUUAAAUGGCACAGAGUGGUUGUACAUGGACAAGGACCUGGGCCUCGGUAUGGCCAUGUAAUGGACUUAGUUGCUCAAAGAUAUCUUGUUACUGUCAGUGGAAACGAUGGAAAAAGAGUUCUUUCUGAUGCAUGGGCUCUGGAUACUGCCCAGAAACCUUAUGCAUGGGCAAGGCUGAACCCAGAAGGUGACAGGCCUUCUGCUAGAAUGUAUGCAACAGCCAGUGCCCGCUCAGAUGGCAUGUUUUUGCUUUGUGGUGGAAGAGAUAUUUCUGGAGCGCCACUAGCAGAUGCUUAUGGACUGCUCAUGCAUAGGAAUGGUCAGUGGGAGUGGACCCUUGCACCUGGAGUGUCCCCUUCACCAAGAUAUCAACAUGCUGCGUAAGUUUUCUUAAUACCUUUUUUGUUUGUUCUUUUUCCGUAUUUGAUAGUAUUGGACACUGCUGCCGGAGUUUGGCUAGACAGAAAUGGGCUUGUGACUUCCUCACGGACGGGAAAGGGACAGAAUGACUAUGAUCCUCCCUUGGAGCUUAUGCGUCGUUGUCGCCACGCUGCUGCAUCUCUUGGUGUUCGUAUAUAUAUUUAUGGAGGUCUUAAGGGAGACAUCCUGCUAGAUGACUUCCUGGUUGCAGAAAAUUCAUCAUUUCAAUCUGAAAUUGGUUCGCCUGUUUUAACAUCUGAGAGAUCGCCAACUGUAACAAGUCCCAGACCGUUUCACGCAAACACAAGUACUUUUGGAACAUCACCAUCUUCGGAUGGCGAACCUGAGAGCCCGCCAUCCAGAGGUUUGAGCAUGGACAAAAAUUCUAUGGAGAAACUACGGGAGGCUUCUGCAGCCGAAGCUGAGGCAGCUAGUGCUGUUUGGCAAGCUGUGCAGGCAACAUCUGCCACUCCUGCUGAAGAAACUUCUGUUUCGGAUGAUAACUCACAUGUUGCAGAAACAUUGUCUGAUGGUAGUGACACUGAGGCAGAUGUUCGCCUUCAUCACUGAGCUGUUGUCGUUGCCAAAGAGGCUGUAGGUAACCUGGGUGGGAUGGUAAGACAGUUGUCUUUGGAUCAAUUUGAAAAUGAGAGUAGACGAAUGAUUCCAAUGAAUAACGACUUAUCACAUCCUAACAAAAAGUUUACCAGGCAGAAGUCUCCACAGGGCCUACAUAAGAAGAUUAUAUCUACAUUGCUGAGACCUCGGAACUGGAAAGCUCCUGUGAAUAGGAAGUUUUUCUUGGAUUCUUAUGAAGUGGGAGAACUUUGUUAUGCUGCUGAGCAGAUCUUUAUGCAGGAGCCAACAGUUCUUCAGCUGAAAGCCCCUGUUAAAGUAUUUGGCGAUCUUCAUGGACAGUUUGGUGAUUUAAUGCGCUUAUUUGAUGAAUACGGAUUUCCAUCUGCUGCGGGAGACAUAACGUAUAUUGACUACUUGUUUUUGGGGGAUUAUGUUGAUCGAGGACAGCACAGCUUGGAGACCAUAACUUUGCUCCUUGCACUUAAGAUUGAGUAUCCUGACAAUGUUCACUUAAUACGUGGAAACCAUGAGGCAGCUGAUAUCAAUGCACUUUUUGGUUUUCGUAUUGAAUGCAUUGAGCGAAUGGGAGAGAAUGAUGGAAUAUGGCAAUGGACACGGUUCAAUCAACUUUUCAACUAUCUCCCACUUGCUGCACUAAUUGAAAAGAAAAUUAUUUGUAUGCAUGGAGGCAUUGGAAGAUCUAUAACUUCAGUAGAACAGAUUGAGAAGCUUGAAAGACCCAUUACAAUGGAUGCUGGGUCUAUAAUCUUAAUGGAUCUGCUGUGGUCUGAUCCUACAGAAAACGAUAGUGUAGAGGGCUUGAGACCAAAUGCCAGAGGGCCUGGUCUUGUCACAUUCGGGCCUGAUCGUGUCACGGAUUUUUGUAAGAGAAAAAAAUUACAACUUAUUAUAAGAGCUCAUGAAUGUGUUAUGGAUGGGUUUGAAAGAUUUGCCCAGGGACAAUUGAUCACCCUCUUUUCUGCAACUAACUAUUGUGGUAAGCAAAUUUCUGGUCAGUUUCUUUCUAUGUUCUGGUGUUUGCAAUCUCAUAUGGCCUUUUCAUGUAGGAACGGCAAACAAUGCUGGUGCUAUACUGGUUGUUGGCAGAGGCUUGGUUGUGGUUCCAAAAUUAAUUCAUCCUUUGCCACCUCCUCUUCAGUCACCGGAGACAUCUCCGGAACGGGUCAUAGAGGACAUGUGGAUGCAGGAGCUAAACAUUCAAAGACCGCCAACUCCUACACGUGGCCGACCACAGCCUGAUCUUGAUCGGAACUCACUUGCAUAUAUAUAU